GGAGAGGUGCCGGAGUGGUUGAUCGGAGCGGUCUUGAAAACCGCAGGGCCUUCGCGCCCCGUGGGUUCGAAUCCCACCCUCUCCGCCA
This 88-nucleotide transfer RNA is filed under the name Chloroflexota bacterium. Its description in RNAcentral is "Chloroflexi bacterium tRNA-Ser". It matches the Rfam family "tRNA". From Rfam's summary of the family: Transfer RNA (tRNA) molecules are approximately 80 nucleotides in length. Lineage: Bacteria; Bacillati; Chloroflexota. The record is from RNAcentral.